RNAcentral lists this ribosomal RNA (253 nucleotides) under uncultured bacterium. RNAcentral's name for it is "partial 16S ribosomal RNA". It matches the Rfam family "Bacterial small subunit ribosomal RNA", at positions 524 to 776 of the family's 1533-position model. The record is from RNAcentral.
GACGAACCGUGCGAACGUUGUUCGGAUUCACUGGGCUUAAAGGGCGCGUAGGCGGCGGCUCAAGUCGGGGGUGAAAUCCUCUCGCUUAACGAGAGAAUUGCUUUCGAUACUGGGUCGCUGGAGGGAGAUAGGGGUGCGCGGAACUUCCGGUGGAGCGGUGAAAUGCGUAGAUAUCGGAAGGAACGCCGGUGGCGAAAGCGGCGCACUGGAUCUCUUAUGACGCUGAGGCGCGAAAGCCAGGGGAGCAAACGGG